Molecule: transfer RNA, 84 nt
Filed under: Aliidongia dinghuensis
Lineage: Bacteria; Pseudomonadati; Pseudomonadota; Alphaproteobacteria; Rhodospirillales; Dongiaceae
Description: tRNA-Phe
Source: RNAcentral
GCGUGGCGGGUCGUGGGUAAUGGCCGGCUGAAGCUCGGCGACGUCGCAACGGCCCUGCCGCUGUUCGAGCGGGCGAUCAUGCUC